This 917-nucleotide ribosomal RNA is filed under the name uncultured archaeon. RNAcentral's name for it is "bacterial SSU rRNA". It matches the Rfam family "Archaeal small subunit ribosomal RNA", at positions 21 to 921 of the family's 1478-position model. The record is from RNAcentral.
CCCGACUGCUAUUUGGGUGAGAAUAAGCCAUGCAAGUCGAAUGGAAUGCCAAAAUAUUCCAUGGCAAACUGCUCAAUAACACGUGAUCAACUUACCCUAUGGAAAACAAUAACCUCUGGAAACGGAGGAUAAUGGUUUAUAGUUGAAAAGGCUUGGAAAAGUUUUUCAAUAAAAGGGAAUAAUAAAAAUGGUUAUUAUUUUGUCAUAGGAUAGGAUUGCGGUCGAUUAUGGCUGUUGGUGAGGUAAUGGCUCACCAAACCAAUAAUCGAUAGGGGCCGUGAGAGCGGGAGCCCCGAGAUGGGUACUGAGACAACGACCCAGGCCUUACGAGGCGCAGCAGGCGCGAAAACUCCGCAAUACACGAAAGUGUGACGGGGUUACCCAAAGUGCUUAAUAUUUAAGCUGUGGUAAGUGUGUAAUGUACCUUACUAGAAAGGAGAGGGCAAGGCUGGUGCCAGCCGCCGCGGUAAAACCAGCUCUUCAAGUGGUCGGGAUAUUUAUUGGGCUUAAAGUGUCCGUAGCUUGUAUAAUAAGUUCCUGGUAAAAUCUAAUAGCUUAACUAUUAGUGUGCUAGGAAUACUGUUAUACUAGAGGGCGGGAGAGGUUUGAGGUACUUCAGGGGUAGGGGUGAAAUCCUAUAAUCCUUGAAGGACCACCAGUGGCGUAGGCGUCAGACUGGAACGCGCCUGACAGUGAGGGACGAAAGCCAGGGGAGCGAACCGGAUUAGAUACCCGGGUAGUCCUGGCCGUAAACGAUGCACACUAGGUGUUGGUAUGGCUAUGAGCCAUAUCAGUGCCGAAGGGAAACCAUUAAGUGUGCCGCCUGGGAAGUACGGUCGCAAGGCUAAAACUUAAAGGAAUUGGCGGGGGAGCACCACAAGGGGUGAAGCCUGCGGUUCAAUUGGAUUCAACGCCGG